Molecule: ribosomal RNA, 2111 nt
Filed under: Salmonella enterica subsp. enterica serovar Grumpensis
Lineage: Bacteria; Pseudomonadati; Pseudomonadota; Gammaproteobacteria; Enterobacterales; Enterobacteriaceae
Description: partial 23S ribosomal RNA
Rfam family: Bacterial large subunit ribosomal RNA
Source: RNAcentral
AGACCCGAAACCCGGUGAUCUAGCCAUGGGCAGGUUGAAGGUUGGGUAACACUAACUGGAGGACCGAACCGACUAAUGUUGAAAAAUUAGCGGAUGACCUGUGGCUGGGGGUGAAAGGCCAAUCAAACCGGGAGAUAGCUGGUUCUCCCCGAAAGCUAUUUAGGUAGCGCCUCGUGAAUUCAUCUCCGGGGGUAGAGCACUGUUUCGGCUAGGGGGCCAUCCCGGCUUACCAACCCGAUGCAAACUGCGAAUACCGGAGAAUGUUAUCACGGGAGACACACGGCGGGUGCUAACGUCCGUCGUGAAGAGGGAAACAACCCAGACCGCCAGCUAAGGUCCCAAAGUCAUGGUUAAGUGGGAAACGAUGUGGGAAGGCCCAGACAGCCAGGAUGUUGGCUUAGAAGCAGCCAUCAUUUAAAGAAAGCGUAAUAGCUCACUGGUCGAGUCGGCCUGCGCGGAAGAUGUAACGGGGCUAAACCAUGCACCGAAGCUGCGGCAGCGACACUCAGGUGUUGUUGGGUAGGGGAGCGUUCUGUAAGCCUGUGAAGGUGGCCUGUGAGGGUUGCUGGAGGUAUCAGAAGUGCGAAUGCUGACAUAAGUAACGAUAAAGCGGGUGAAAAGCCCGCUCGCCGGAAGACCAAGGGUUCCUGUCCAACGUUAAUCGGGGCAGGGUGAGUCGACCCCUAAGGCGAGGCCGAAAGGCGUAGUCGAUGGGAAACGGGUUAAUAUUCCCGUACUUGGUGUUACUGCGAAGGGGGGACGGAGAAGGCUAUGUUGGCCGGGCGACGGUUGUCCCGGUUUAAGCGUGUAGGUGUGUGUUCCAGGUAAAUCCGGUUCACUUUAACACUGAGGCGUGAUGACGAGGCACUACGGUGCUGAAGCAACAAAUGCCCUGCUUCCAGGAAAAGCCUCUAAGCAUCAGGUAACAUCAAAUCGUACCCCAAACCGACACAGGUGGUCAGGUAGAGAAUACCAAGGCGCUUGAGAGAACUCGGGUGAAGGAACUAGGCAAAAUGGUGCCGUAACUUCGGGAGAAGGCACGCUGACAUGUAGGUGAAGUGAUUUACUCACGGAGCUGAAGUCAGUCGAAGAUACCAGCUGGCUGCAACUGUUUAUUAAAAACACAGCACUGUGCAAACACGAAAGUGGACGUAUACGGUGUGACGCCUGCCCGGUGCCGGAAGGUUAAUUGAUGGGGUCAGCGCAAGCGAAGCUCCUGAUCGAAGCCCCGGUAAACGGCGGCCGUAACUAUAACGGUCCUAAGGUAGCGAAAUUCCUUGUCGGGUAAGUUCCGACCUGCACGAAUGGCGUAAUGAUGGCCAGGCUGUCUCCACCCGAGACUCAGUGAAAUUGAACUCGCUGUGAAGAUGCAGUGUACCCGCGGCAAGACGGAAAGACCCCGUGAACCUUUACUAUAGCUUGACACUGAACAUUGAGCCUUGAUGUGUAGGAUAGGUGGGAGGCUUUGAAGUGUGGACGCCAGUCUGCAUGGAGCCGGCCUUGAAAUACCACCCUUUAAUGUUUGAUGUUCUAACGUGGACCCGUGAUCCGGGUUGCGGACAGUGUCUGGUGGGUAGUUUGACUGGGGCGGUCUCCUCCUAAAGAGUAACGGAGGAGCACGAAGGUUGGCUAAUCCUGGUCGGACAUCAGGAGGUUAGUGCAAUGGCAUAAGCCAGCUUGACUGCGAGCGUGACGGCGCGAGCAGGUGCGAAAGCAGGUCAUAGUGAUCCGGUGGUUCUGAAUGGAAGGGCCAUCGCUCAACGGAUAAAAGGUACUCCGGGGAUAACAGGCUGAUACCGCCCAAGAGUUCAUAUCGACGGCGGUGUUUGGCACCUCGAUGUCGGCUCAUCACAUCCUGGGGCUGAAGUAGGUCCCAAGGGUAUGGCUGUUCGCCAUUUAAAGUGGUACGCGAGCUGGGUUUAGAACGUCGUGAGACAGUUCGGUCCCUAUCUGCCGUGGGCGCUGGAGAACUGAGGGGGGCUGCUCCUAGUACGAGAGGACCGGAGUGGACGCAUCACUGGUGUUCGGGUUGUCAUGCCAAUGGCACUGCCCGGUAGCUAAAUGCGGAAGAGAUAAGUGCUGAAAGCAUCUAAGCACGAAACUUGCCCCGA